CGUGGAGGGGGCGGAAGAGGGGUCCUGGAAGGCCGUAGCCAACACCAUCGCCGCCCUCGCCCCCCCUGGCAAGAGGUUCGGGGGGCUGGCGCUGCUUGGUUGUAGGCUGCGUGCGGCCGAGCUGCCGCCGCUGCUGCAGGAGCUGAGAGACAAGGGCCUGAGGACGGACGGCGGGGGCGACACGCACGCCAAGGCUGUCGGGUGGGAUGUCUACCUCCGCAUCACUGACCGCGUGCCCCUGGGGGGACCAGCGGGGCCCAGUGACGCCGAACUGCAGGAGGCGCUGCAGGAAUACCUGCGACAACAUUAGGGCGAGGAACACUAGGACGAGGAACACUAGGACGAGGAGCACUAGGACGAGGAACACUAGGACGAGGAACACUAGGACGAGGAACACUAGGACGAGGAACACUAGGACGAGGAAACAAUAGGACGAGGAACAAUAGGACGAGGAACACUAGGACGAGCAAAACUAGGAAGGAAUUCACGACUUGAACUUGGUGUAACUCAUUUCAACCUACUCGAUGCUCAUUCAUUUUAAAGAAUUAUGUAGAUUAAAUGAACUCCAAUUCUGUUUGCAUGUUCUGUCAGGA
Molecule: long non-coding RNA, 593 nt
Organism: Hyalella azteca
Lineage: Eukaryota; Metazoa; Arthropoda; Malacostraca; Amphipoda; Hyalellidae
Exons: 3
Source: RefSeq, a predicted model, not a curated record